CAGUCGCCGCGGUAAGACAGAGGGUGCAAACGUUGUUCGGAAUUACUGGGCGUAAAGCGUGUGUAGGCGGCUUCGCAAGUCGGAUGUGAAAGCCCCGGGCUCAACCCGGGAAGUGCACUCGAUACUGCGGAGCUAGAGUGUCGGAGAGGUUGGUGGAAUUCUCGGUAUAGAGGUGAAAUUCGUAGAUAUCGAGAGGAACACCGGUGGCGAAGGCGGCCAACUGGACGAACACUGACGCUGAGACACGAAAGCGUGGGGAGCAAACAGGAUUAGAUACCCCCGUAGUCCCUGUCUCUUAUAC
RNAcentral lists this ribosomal RNA (301 nucleotides) under uncultured bacterium. Its description in RNAcentral is "partial 16S ribosomal RNA". It matches the Rfam family "Bacterial small subunit ribosomal RNA", at positions 509 to 807 of the family's 1533-position model. The record is from RNAcentral.